GACGAACGCUGGCGGCGUGCUUAACACAUGCAAGUCGAACGGAGUUACGUAUGAAGUAUUUCGGUACGGACUACAUAACUUAGUGGCGAACGGGUGAGUAACACGUGGGCAACCUGCCCUUAACCGGGGGAUAACAUUGUGAAAACAGUGCUAAUACCGCAUAACAGAGUAUCGGGCAUCCGAUAUUUUUAAAAGGAGCAAUCCGGUUUAGGAUGGGCCCGCGUCCAAUUAGCUAGUUGGUGAGGUAACAGCUCACCAAGGCUACGAUUGGUAGCCGAACUGAGAGGUUGAUCGGCCACAUUGGGACUGAGACACGGCCCAGACUCCUACGGGAGGCAGCAGUGGGGAAUAUUGGGCAAUGGGCGAAAGCCUGACCCAGCGACGCCGCGUGAAGGAUGAAGGUCUUCGGAUUGUAAACUUCUUUGAUCAGGGAAGAAAGAAAUGACGGUACCUGAAGAACAAGCCACGGCUAACUACGUG
Molecule: ribosomal RNA, 480 nt
Filed under: uncultured bacterium
Lineage: Bacteria
Description: bacterial SSU rRNA
Rfam family: Bacterial small subunit ribosomal RNA
Source: RNAcentral